This 295-nucleotide ribosomal RNA is filed under the name uncultured bacterium. RNAcentral's name for it is "partial 16S ribosomal RNA". It matches the Rfam family "Bacterial small subunit ribosomal RNA", at positions 28 to 317 of the family's 1533-position model. The record is from RNAcentral.
GAUGAACGCUGGCGGCGUGCCUAAUACAUGCAAGUCGAACGAGGUGCUUGAGUAGCAAUACGAGAGUAUCCUAGUGGCGAACGGGUGAGUAACGCGUUGGUGACCUACCCCAAAGUGUGGGAUAACAGUCCGAAAGGAUUGCUAAUACCGCAUGUGGUCUUCGGGUUUAGAAACCGAUGACGAAAGCAGCAAUGCGCUUUGGGAGGGACCUGCGUCCCAUCAGCAGUUGGUGAGGUAACGGCUCACCAAGGCGACGACGGGUAGGGGACCUGAGAGGGUGACCCCCCACAAUAGG